AUGGCUGCUCAACCAGUAGUAGGUCCACUGAUGAUGAGUGAUCCAGAGAGUGCUACUACCAAGAGUUCAACAACACAAGAAGAAGAUGUCUUACCCAAAAAUUUGGUAGCCACACUUCCAGCUAGAGAAGGGUGGUCUGAACCGCUCGUUCAAUACCACAACUACUGGUUCAGACCGGGGCACCUCGAGCGGAUCCUGCUCGUGAAGCAGGCCUUCGUGCCCCGCGCCGACGACAUCAUCCUCGCCACGCAGCCCAAAUGCGGCACCACCUGGCUCAAAGCCCUCGCCUUCACCAUAACCAACCGAUCCCGCUACGGCUUCAUCGACCACCCGCUCCUCACACACCACCCUCAGCAUCUCGUGCCGUUCAUCCAGAUCCCUGGUGCCGGCACGGGCCACACUGACAUCGACCCCUUUGGGUUCCCGAGGCUUCUCGCCACGCACACGCCCAUGUCGUUGCUCCCGCCAGGCAUGAGAUCACUCGGUUGCCGAGUCGUGUACCUGUGCCGGGACCCCAAGGACGCUCUUGUCUCAAGGCUGCACUUCGAGAACAAGGCGUUUCCGGGCACCGACCUAUCCAUGGACAGAUGUUUCAGCAUGUUCUGCAAGGGGUUCUCGCCUUAUGGCCCCUUCUGGGAUCACUGCCUCGAGUACUGGAGGGAGAGCAUGGCAAGGCCGGACAGCGUCCUCUUCCUUAAGUACGAAGAGAUCAAGUCUGAUCCAACGCAGGUUGUGAGGAAGCUGGCGAAAUUCCUCGGCGUCCCACUGACCGAGGAGGAGGAGAGGUCCGGUGUUGCUCAGGAGGUGGUGAGGCUGUGCAGCUUUGAGGCACUUACCAGCUUGCAAGUCAAUCAGGUCGGCCGCGUUCAUUUCAGUGAUAACAUUGUCAUGAGUAACUCUGUGUUUUACAGAAAAGGAGAAGUAGGGGACUGGGUAAACCACAUGAGCCAGGAGAUGGGGGAGGAGUUGGACCGCAUCGUCCAACACAAGCUUGAGGGAUCUGGGCUUGUGUUUUGA
Molecule: ribosomal RNA, 1017 nt
Filed under: Triticum aestivum (bread wheat)
Lineage: Eukaryota; Viridiplantae; Streptophyta; Magnoliopsida; Poales; Poaceae
Description: partial small subunit ribosomal RNA
Source: RNAcentral